This 2454-nucleotide long non-coding RNA is filed under the name Equus caballus (horse). Its description in RNAcentral is "lncRNA (ENSECAG00000060079.1)". The record is from RNAcentral. Lineage: Eukaryota; Metazoa; Chordata; Mammalia; Perissodactyla; Equidae.
GUCAUUAGGCAUCAGGGAAACGCAAAUCAAGACCACAAUGAGACACCACUUCACACCCAUUAGAAGGGCUAUAACUUAAAAAAACAAAAAAGAAAAAUAACACGUUGGCAAGGAUACGGAAAAAUUGGAACCCUCACGCCCUGCUUGCGGGAAUGUAAAGUGGUUCGGCUGCUGUGGAAAGCAGUUUGGCAGCUCGCCUAAAUGUUAAACAUAGAGUUAGCAUAUGACCCAGUAAUUCCACUGGGUGGUAUUUACCCAAAAGAACUGAAAACAACCAUUCGAACAUACCUGUUUUGACAGGUAUGACACACGCUCCAACAUGGAUGAACCGUGAAAACACUAUACUGAGUAAAAUAAGCCAGACACAAAGGACAGACGCUGUAAGAUGCCACUUACUUGAAAUAUGUAGUGAGGAGUCGGGCUCCGGGUUAAACGUCUUUGUGCGACUUUUUGGCCGCCACAGGCCAUUACAAACGCUUUCCCUGGUGGCCAUGCGGGGAGGGGUGGGGAAGCUCCCUUCCCCCAGCAGCCCGGCCCGGCGGCGGGCACUGCGGGCUCUGAGGGAGCUGCAGGCGAGGACUCUGCCCCUGGCCGGCCUUCUCCUCGCCCAUUUACAUUCCUAGCCGGGUGCCUCCAUUCCUAGGUCGCUAUCUGCGACCUCAGGCAGGGCUCUUCUCCAGGCGCCUCUGUGAGGCCUCUUUAGGUGCGCCACUCAUGGGGGAAGAUGGAACGGGGCGUCGGUGCCUUCUCGCUUCUGUCACCGCAGACUUCCUAUAAAUGUGGUCAUACUCUACGCUUCCUUUGUGUAAGGCUCCUUUCACUCAGGGCAAUGUUUCUGAGGUUCACCUUUACUGUGGGCAGCGGCAGCUCGUUCCUUCCCGUUGGGGAGAACGUGAACACAGAGCAGUCCCCUCCUAGGACACGUGGGGAAAUCACAGGGGUGAGCAUUGGAUGAGCCUUGUCCUGGGGAAACCACCUUUGUGAUCACGGCAUCUCAUCUGCCAGUCUGCCAGGAAAGCCGCUGUCUCAAGAAUAUCAAGGAGGGCAGGCUUCCCAGACCUCAACUCCUCACUCCCGGCGCACGAACCUGCCUCAAACAGGAAGACGAGACAAGAGACAACGAUGAAGGACGCCCACCUGCCAUCCUCCUAUCCCCCCACCCCCCACCCCCGCCUCACUGCAAGCAGCCUCUCAAGGCCAAACGCAGGCUGGUGGAAAAGCACCGAGCUGCACAAGCUACGUGUUCCCCCUCACCUACCCAAAACCCCAAAUAAAAACCCCUACCCAUUCCUUGUCGGGGAGCCAGCAAUUUCUGAGGCAUGAGCCCUUGCUUUGCUCCCUGUGCCUGGCAUAGUAAAGACUUUCCUCUUCCACUCAAGACCGUUCUCGUUAUUUGAAUUGGCAUCGGGUUCAGGGACUGAACUUUCGGUUAUACUUCCACGCUUCUUUCCUAGCUUCCACCAGCUGCUGGCCACCCUGGGCAAUCCUUGGCUUGCAGGCGCAUCAGUCCCGUCUCUGUCUCCAUCUUCACACGGCCUUCUCCCGUGUUGCUGUGUGUCUCUGUAUCUCUGUUUUCUCUCCUACUUCAGUCCCGCUGGCAGGGUUUCUGUGGAAACGGUUGGUUAGAUCUGCAAGUCACACUCCUAAUCUCUCCGGCAAUUCAUUCCUCCAUUUACCUCUUUCCUCUUGCAUUUUCCUAUAAGCAGGAAAGAGAAACCAGGCUGCACCUUCCACAUUUUGCUAGGCAAUCUCCUCACCAAAAUAUCCAAGUUCACCCCUUGUAAGUUCUACUUUCUACCUGACAACAGAACACAAUUCUGCCAAGUUUCCGUCACUUUAUAACAAGCACUGCUUUUCUGCCAGUGUCCAAUAACGUGUUCAUCAUUUCCUCGAAAGCCUCCCCAGCAGCACCUUCAGCGUUCGUAAACCAGGCCCCACACCAACAUUCUGUGCAGAUAAUAUACAUGUUCCUUAAGGGAACAGACGCUUUCUUACAGCCCUCCUGACUCUUUCAGAAGCUCUCACAGAAUCGCCUUGAAUGUCUCUGUUUCUAUCAACAGACUCUUCAAGGUGUGAAAAUUAAUAAAGGGAAACCUUACACAAAAUGGAGUGGGGAGGCCAGAAGGGGGAGCCCUCAGCACUACCGCUCUGCGUCAAUUCCAGGAAAGAUCGUCCGUCACAGGCCCCGGAAGAGACGUCCACUGCCUUCCAGACAAGAAAGACCACUCCAGCAACCCAGCCAACGAGAAACAGUCACCACCCUGAACAAGACCUUGUUUUCCACCAAUGGGCUUCUGUUCAAAACAACCCUCCCAACUUCCUCCUUUUUCUCUAUAAAAUAAAGUCCCUCUCCUUUGUGUGCUAGACUUGACUGUGGCUUUUGCUAUAGUGUGCUUGUCCCAAAUUGCAAUUCCUUUCCUAUUCCCAAAUAAACUGAUUUUGCUGGUAAAAUAA